GUCGGCGCUGGGUGUGUCACUAAAGUUGCCUUUCGCGUCAUCACUAGGUCUGUGAGACGAGCGUAACUUUGAACCAUCAGAACCGCUUAUUUCUCCCUGAGUCAGUAUACUGAAAAUGCUGCACUUAAGAGGAUGCUUGUUUUGAUCCUCUGCUCAUUGUUUUUAUGAAGUAUCACUAAUUCAUCCUAGAGGUGGUGUUCUUUUUAAGAAUUUGAGAAGGUUGGAUGACCUGGUCCAUUAAAAAAAAGAAAAAAAAAAAAGAAUUUGAGAAGGAAAUUGUAGUUCCCAGUUACUUUUGUGUAAUGUGAGCAAACAAAAUAUUUGUUACAAAACUUUAUUCAAAUCUAUUUAAUAUCAACAUUGUAAUAAGUUUUAAUUCAUAUUUCCAGUGUGUGAUUAUAAUAACACCCUUUUUUAUUUUGCAAAUACUGUAUAAAGAAAAGAUGCAGGUUACUUUGUGGCAUAUUUCUAUAAUUUAGAAGUGAAGUAGUUUGAGUAUAGGGUUUAUUUCUAUUUUUGCCAUAACCCCUUUCACUGUAGUAACUAAGAUAUGCUAGCUGCAACUUUAAAGAAAUAGAAUAAACCAGAUUCUAUUGCAGUUCUUAUUUUCAUUCUUAGUUUUUCUUAAUGAUAGACACUUUGUCAGUACAUCUUAGUAUGUUUACCUUGAAUGACUACUCUUUUAAACUUUCACAUUCAAUGAGAACUAACAUAAUUAGGCCAGUGUCUCUUAUCAGUAAAAAGUCAUUCCAUUUUCAGCUGCAGCUGAAAAGGUUGAAUACCACUUCUUUUUGUUUAAACCAAGGUUCAGUUAGAAAUUGCAUCUUGACAAGCUUAAGUGUUGGUUUGAUCUUAGCUAUUCUGUAUAAAUAAGGAUGGAUUUUCUUUAGCCUUAAAGGAGAUUAGUCAGUUAUGGUUGUAACUCGAUUGCUUUCCCUUAUUUUUCUGUUUAGCAUAUUUGUUAGUAUAUUGAAUAUCAUUUCCCUUUGCAGAUAUUUCCAAGGUCUUUAGUCUUUUUUUUUUUUUUUAAUUGUAGUUGUGCCUUUAAAUGGCUCCAGUGAAAAGUAAGAUGUAAAUGCAGAUAAUUACAAAAUUUAUGUACAAAGAGUACAUAAGAGGGGAAGAGGAAGUGUGAAACUCAGGCUUCACAGAGGUGACAUUUGAAUUGGGGUUAAGUUGAAGAACAGACAAACUUAGACACAAAGCUAUGGAAAAAUUGUGAUGAGCAGCGGAGAAAGUAAGUUUGGAAAGGAAAGCACAGGUCAUUUAUUUAUAUUUAUUCUUAGGAUUUUGGGCUUUUAUUUAAGUGAAAUUUAACAAGGGGUGUGAUCUUAUGUUUGUGUUCUAGAAAGAUUACUCUGGCAGCAGACAUAUGAAAGAUUUCUUGUAGGAGAUAGAGAGAUAUCUUAAUGACCAGGAUAAACUCUCCUGUGUUAGGUCAAACUGUGGAGGUGCAUUAGAAUGCUCAAAAUGAAAAGAGACAGGGGCUAAGUAGUGCUCCCUGAAGAGCACCAUUAUUUUACAGGUUGGAGAGAAAGGACUAAGUGGAGACUUAAAGGACAAAAAGUAGAGAAACAAAUGGAGAGGGGGAGUUACAGAAGCCAAGAGAGAAGUGGUUUAUAGUGUCAGAUGCUCAGAGGGAUCAAGUAAAAAAAA
Cebus imitator (Panamanian white-faced capuchin) is the source of this 1656-nucleotide long non-coding RNA. RefSeq lists it as uncharacterized. NCBI's taxonomy places the organism in Eukaryota, Metazoa, Chordata, Mammalia, Primates, Cebidae. The transcript is spliced from 2 exons. The record is from RefSeq and is a predicted model, not a curated record.